UACGUAGGGUGCGAGCGUUGUCCGGAAUUACUGGGCGUAAAGCGUGCGCAGGCGGUCUGUUAAGACCGAUGUGAAAUCCCCGGGCUUAACCUGGGAACUGCAUUGGUGACUGGCAGGCUUUGAGUGUGGCAGAGGGAGGUAGAAUUCCACGUGUAGCAGUGAAAUGCGUUGAUAUCGUUCGGAACACCAAUAGCGAAGGCAGGCUUCUGGGUGCCACCUGACACUGCUAGGACGAAAGCGUGGGGAGCGAAUGGG
Molecule: ribosomal RNA, 255 nt
Filed under: uncultured bacterium
Lineage: Bacteria
Description: partial 16S ribosomal RNA
Rfam family: Bacterial small subunit ribosomal RNA
Source: RNAcentral